RNAcentral lists this ribosomal RNA (847 nucleotides) under uncultured Gammaproteobacteria bacterium. RNAcentral's name for it is "bacterial SSU rRNA". It matches the Rfam family "Bacterial small subunit ribosomal RNA", at positions 551 to 1397 of the family's 1533-position model. The record is from RNAcentral. Lineage: Bacteria; Pseudomonadati; Pseudomonadota; Gammaproteobacteria.
UUACUGGGCGUAAAGCGAGCGUAGGUGGCUUGAUAAGUCAGAUGUGAAAUCCCCGGGCUUAACCUGGGAACUGCAUCUGAAACUGUUAGGCUAGAGUAGGUGAGAGGGAAGUAGAAUUUCAGGUGUAGCGGUGAAAUGCGUAGAGAUCUGAAGGAAUACCGAUGGCGAAGGCAGCUUCCUGGCAUCAUACUGACACUGAGGCUCGAAAGCGUGGGUAGCAAACAGGAUUAGAUACCCUGGUAGUCCACGCCGUAAACGAUGUCUACUAGUCGUUGGGUCCCUUGAGGACUUAGUGACGCAGCUAACGCAAUAAGUAGACCGCCUGGGGAGUACGGCCGCAAGGUUAAAACUCAAAUGAAUUGACGGGGGCCCGCACAAGCGGUGGAGCAUGUGGUUUAAUUCGAUGCAACGCGAAGAACCUUACCUGGUCUUGACAUAUCUAGAAUCCUGCAGAGAUGCGGGAGUGCCUUCGGGAAUUAGAAUACAGGUGCUGCAUGGCUGUCGUCAGCUCGUGUCGUGAGAUGUUGGGUUAAGUCCCGCAACGAGCGCAACCCUUGUCCUUAGUUACCAGCGGGUUAAGCCGGGAACUCUAAGGAUACUGCCAGUGACAAACUGGAGGAAGGCGGGGACGACGUCAAGUCAUCAUGGCCCUUACGACCAGGGCUACACACGUGCUACAAUGGUAGGUACAGAGGGCAGCUACACAGCGAUGUGAUGCGAAUCUCAAAAAGCCUAUCGUAGUCCAGAUUGGAGUCUGCAACUCGACUCCAUGAAGUAGGAAUCGCUAGUAAUCGCGGAUCAGAAUGCCGCGGUGAAUACGUUCCCGGGCCUUGCACACACCGCCCGU